CAGAUGCUCUGCUCUAGCUUCCUAUUUGUCUGCUUUUGGCCUGCAGAAAAUGAAACCCGUCUUACCUCAGGUCUAAUGAAAAGACUAAGCCUCUUCUCCGGCUGCAGGAGGGAAAAAAAAUACCAGAAUGGGUGCAGCCCAGCUAAAAAUAUUUCCCAUCUUCAUCUCUUUCUGAGAAAACUGCUUAAACCCCUUGGUUGAGCACUGGCCGAACACUGACCAGCCACUGUCCAGCAAACAGAGGUUAAAUAUGCAGCAUGCAAGGCAAGAUCAUUCUGGCUGUACAGCCUACAUAUGGAUGUACAAAAAAUGAUUUGCACAGUCCUUGCCAGUUGGUCUUUGCACUGCAGGUCCAGGAUAGCAUCUUGAUUUUCUGAGUAUGUCAUCUGGCAAUGCUGGUUGAUGUCUUUGCAUGAAUCUAAGGAAAGAAUGUGCUUUUUAAAAGGAAGACUUUGACUCUGUCAGAAGUAGGCUGUGUGCUAAAGAUUUGUUACUCCAUAACAAAAGGCAGCCACUGAUUUGCAGACACAGCUCACACUGAUGUCAACGAAAGCUGCACAUAGAGUUCAAGUGUGCAAAGGGGCCCUUUGCCUCUAAUUCAUCUCAGGGCUUGCCUUAUUUCAUUACACAGCUUUGAGCUGAAUGAGAUCGGGACAUAUUUUUAAAGAUGUUGGCUGCAGAUCCACACCGAUGAGAAGUGAGAAAAUCCUUGCAGUUCCACGGACAAGUCGAAAACCUGCCUGAACAAACUGCCAGUUCAACUGUUCUUAAAGCAGCCACAGACCAGGGAAUUUGUGCACACAACUGAGUGUCAAAUACUCUCCUGGUGUGUUUUGGCGUAAUUUCAUUUGCUUCAGUGGAGGCAUGAUGGUUUUCAUCAGCUAAAGAUCUGGUUUUAAAGUACACAUAUAUAUUUUGAAGCUCCAUCCUCAAAGUUCACAAGCUUGGGUUUUGUUUGGGUUUUUUUCUGUUCUCUCUGGGGUAGUUUCACUGAGCUGUUCCUAUAUUGUUUUAUUUUUUCUUGAAGAAUCUAGACACAAUAAAAACUGUAGGGCUGGUCAAGGAAUGCUAUGUUAAAGUGUAACUUCAGAAGAAAAGUAGCACAAUUCUACACUGGCCAGUACAAACAAAGGGGUUUUUUUUUUAAAUAGCCUCUUUACAUACUAAAAAAAUCAUUACCUUUUCUGCCCCUAAUUUUUUUCUCUAUAGCCUUUCUUACACUGAUACUCUGUGUGUUGCAGACUGAUAAACAGCAGUCACUGACUCUAUUGCAGUUAAACCAUAGAAGGAAAACUAGAAUGGUGCUGAAGCAGCCACAUGGAAGGGAGAGGGGGAAAAAGGUAAGUCAGAGUGUUAACAACUCCCAAAGUCUUUACACACCAGGGUAGAACUUACUUUGAGUUUAAAAUAAUGCAAGUCUAUGCCUCUACAGCAGUCAGAGAAUCACAGCAUUGUUAGGGUUGGAAGGGACCUCUGGAGAUCAUCCAGUUCAACCUCUCUGCCAAGGCAGGAUCACCUGGAGCAAGUUACACAGGAAUGUUUCCAGGUGGGUUUUGGAUAUCUCCAGAGAGGGAGACUCCACGACCUUCCUGGACAGCAUGUUCCAGUGCUCUGCCACCAUAGUCCCCUAGCUAGGCAGGAAUAAGCAGGCUGUGCAGUAGAUGGCAUGUUAUUUCCUAAGCCAAUGAAGCACUGUAGGUGGAGAGUUAGAAAUUUGUCACUAUAUUUUGUUAUUAUUUUGAUCAUCCUAGAACAAAGCAUACAGAAAGCAGGAAUCCUAGUCUCAUACAGAUUCUUGAGGAAUUUCUGAAGGUGAAUUUUUCACCACAGUCAUGAGCUAGUCAUAUUAGCAGAGCUGACCAGAUCUGAAGAGACACUUAUCCAUCAUCUAACAUUCAGAGAAGAUUCAUGACAGUUCUGAACUGUAUCCAGUGUGGACACCACAAAUCUGGCAGGGCUGCACCACUUAAUUUCAGGGCUAGAGACACCACAGCCUCUUCACCACAAGGCUCUCUGCACAUUAGUUGAGUGCUCAGCCAAGCCUCUUUCCCUGGAAGACUCUUGUCUCCUUUCUGUGAGCUACUUCUAGAAUUCCCCUCAGCUUGUCUUUCUAAAAUAUGCAGUAUAAUCCUAAAAAUGUUUUAGGUGUGUGACUUGUAUUGUCUGGAAAGUUGGAGUAUUCUCCACUGCCAAGACUGCACUGCUCACAAGCAGUGUGUUCGCACUCAAGAUCCUUGCAGACCAGAGCGGUCGCCAUAAUUGAAAACAGUAUCUGUUCGGCAUUCAGGCUGAGCUGAGAGUCUGUUUUCCAUGUUCAUCACUGCUAAAUUAGUUAUGCUGUUACUGAGUGGGGAAUUCAGGCGUAGGUUUUCAAAGUCUCCAGCAUUAAGUUACCAGUCACUGUCCCAAACUGUCAUUUUGGUUAUGCAAUUAAAGUUUCCCUGAGAGCGUUUAAACAGAAACCAGAGUGUGCAUUUCCACAAAGUGUUUCACAUCCAUUCUUUUUCAUAGAAGGCUGAAGAAAAAAUUAAUUUUGAUAAAAUGUUAGGUCAGUGUUUCAGAAUGUACUAUGACAGAGAGCAUGAGAGAAUUUGUGGCCAGUAUGCCCACCUAGACUAAAACCCAGCUGUACAGUGGAGUCUGAAAUGAUCACCCAUUGGCUUUGCAACUCCCAGUCUGUAUAUUUGCAGGAUGAAUUCUGUUGUGAGCAAUUCCCUUUCAACUUUAAUUUUCCCUGGCUGUUGCAAAUGGGAGGAUCAUUCACCUCUUUGACAUAAACUGUUAUGUUUUUGUACAUUUUUCAAUAGCUGCCACAGAAAUGGAUGCAUUCUAGCAGGAGGCAGAAUUAUUCAGCCACAUAUCUGUACUCCUUUCGCUCAUACAUUAUACUACAUUCUAAUUUUAUGUGAUUGUCAUUAAUUUACUAACAAAUUAUUUCUCUUAUUUCAGAGUCAGAGCAGAGAUACAAUUUUAUAAGUAUUGAAACCAGCCGGGCAUCUUGAAUAUUUCCUUGACAUAUUUUGGUGUAUUCCUAAGUUGCUUUAUCAGUCAUUAAAGCUCAGCUUGCAGUACUUAACAAUCUUGGCCUUGAUCCUAUAAGCAUGCAUAUGCCUUGCUUUAUGCAUAUAAGCACUCUCAUUGAAAUCAAUAUUCAUCCACAUUACAUUAAGUACACACAUAAGUGUUUGCAGGAUUGAGGCUGCCUUUUUUUUUUUUUCCCUGUAUUCAUACUAUUUUCUGCCUGGUGUCUAUUGUAGUCUUUUGAGUAAAUGAUUUGUAGGCUGAAUAGGGCUCUUCAGAUCGCAUUCCUCACUGAAUGAUACAAUUCCUCAUGUAGUGCCAGGACCCACUCAAGGCUUUUCAGUUCUGGAGGCAACAUUAACUUCCAGUUCCCCAAAGAGCAAAAUUGAAUUUUGUGAUAAUGACACAAAAUAUUCAACAAGUGUGUACAGGGAGGUGUUGAGGGCUGAGGGAAUCCAGUAAGGACAAAGUGGAUGAGGGUUCAGAAAGGCCAGAGGAUGUCAUAGAGAGCAGUGUGUGUGUAUUGGAGUAGUCCAUAAGAUCUCAGUAGAGCUCUGUGUUUUCGAGGGAGCCAGAGAAGCCAUGCAGAUCUUGAGGGAGGAAGGGAGUGACAAAGAGAGGAAGUACUGCUGUUCGUGGUAGCUGUAUAUCUUGUUCCAUCAAAUAGAUGUGGAUCAUCUAUUUGCACAAUAAGUUAAAAAAGCUUUCAGGGAGGCUUCCUCCUGGAGAUGCAGAAUCUAAUGCUUUCAUGGCCCUCCGUUCUUUUCUGAGGAAAAGAAAGCAUUAUUGAUGAGAAUGGAUCUUGGAAAGUUUUAUUACAAAUGUUCUGUUUUAAAUAUUAGACCCUUCCAGAACAAAUUACACUUUAUUAAUAUUUUGUGUUAGGAUCAUUAUGGAUGACUUAAAAUGUUGGAUGGAAUAGAGGACUUUAUGCCUCUUACUAGAUCUUGUUUGUCAGGCUAUUUAAUCUGUCAUUUUUCAAGGGCUUUUGAGGUUUUUUCAAGAAUGACUUGUGUCUUAAUUCAUUGCAAUUAUUAAAAUUCUUCAAUUUAAAAAAAAAAAUCCUAUUUGUUUUCUGCCAUUUGUGCUGGCUCUUUGUGUUCCAUCUACUACAAUUAAAAAAGGACCAGUCAUAUUCACUGCUGUUUGCAGUAAAUUUAUCUCUGAAGUUUGCGUGUACCACCACUGGAAUUUUUGUCUUACAAUGGUGAUAAGACGGUUUUGUCUCUUAUUUAACUUUGUGUAGCUACACUGAAAAGUAAAAUAUGGAAGCAUUUUUUUGUUCUGAUGUUGGAGUUAUAAAUAUAAAACAGAAAUGCUGUGUUUUACCUGAAAAUGUUUCUGUAAAUCUCAAGAGUUAUGACAUUUUAUGGUUGUUCAUCCGCUUAGAUCUUGUCUCAUCAUUCAUUAUUUUUCCACUUUUUUCAUAGCAUGGGAAUUUUUUUAUAGAUUAAGUUUUAAUUUGGCUCUCCAGUUUAUUAAGUAUGUGACUAAAGAUAUCCAUCAAUUAUGCCCUACUUCAUCUGUACAAAUUUCAAUACCUUGGAAUUUAAAAACUGAAAAACUGUGCCUGAAAAGUGUGCUCUUUUUCCACCUGCAUCAGGUUUUUUAAAAGAAAAAAAUUACUUCUCCCUAAAACUUUGUUUCUUUUAAAUCCUAAGCCUGUAUGGCUACAAGGCUACUUUCCUAGACAUGAAGGCAUUAAUCAUAUCUGACAGAUUUUUCCCUUCUAUAAUAAGCAACAUUUCUCAUAAUAAGACAUAAAAAUAGGACAUGAAUUAACAUGACACACCACAGAAGAUCAGUGAGUACAAACUCAGAUUUAAAUUUCCAAGUCUUUUGGGGCUAUGUUAAUUUUUUGCACCAUUAAGUAGUUUCCAGUUUCAAUCCCCAUUUAUUCUAGGCAAAACCACAACAGAAGCAUACAAUGCAUUACAGCUUGCACUGGUGGAAGGUUCCAGCAGCUCAGCCUCUCUCUUGUCCUCCAGACGGCAGUGGGUAUUUCAGGCACUCCUUCAGCCCCUGAAUUACUGCCUCCAACAUCUGGACUUUCCAGACAUUCCCAACAAUGGAGUACUGGGGGCGAGGAAUUUCUGCUGGUUGAAAGUGGAAUUUGGCUUCAAUUAAAAAAAUAAAUAAA
Molecule: long non-coding RNA, 5161 nt
Organism: Corvus hawaiiensis (hawaiian crow)
Lineage: Eukaryota; Metazoa; Chordata; Aves; Passeriformes; Corvidae
Exons: 3
Source: RefSeq, a predicted model, not a curated record